CACACAGUGGAUUUAUAAAAAUGAGACUACAGAACAUCAGACGGAAGCUUCAACACGUGAGAGGACAUCAUCAAUAAAGAAUGCCAUUGACCAAACCUUCAGUCAUCAAAGGAGAUGGAUACAGGUGGACAUUGAGUUUCCAGACUUACCGAUAGGAAAGAAGACAUGUUUAUCAGGAAAUGGGAGGUGACAAUUAUUGAGAAAUUCGGGGAAAUAGCAUCUUUAGAGAAGAAAAUGGACAUCAGACAUUCAUUGAAGAAAGCUGACAGUCAACAUAAUGAUCUUCUGCUGUGUGAAUUCUGUGUGAAGUCUCAGACCUGUGGGACUUGGUGGCGGCUGGUACCAGCGUGACCUCUUUGCUUACUAAAUGAUGAAAAGGUGUCUAAAAUCAGCUCAGCCACAGUUGGUUUCCAGCGGUUCUUCAGGACAUAGAGGCCACUAUGUAAUUGUCGCAAUGAAUGAUUCUCUUGCCUUUCCACUUGAUGUUUACAAUCUGACCUGUGCGGUAGACAGACUUUUCAAAUUUACUAGCUAAGUAACCUUAAGUAUCCCUGCCAACUGUCUUCAGUUUUUUUUUUUUGGUAUGAAUAUGAUCUACCCUUGUCCCAGUCCUCUUGCAAAC
Non-coding RNA from Misgurnus anguillicaudatus (oriental weatherfish), 622 nucleotides. The record is from RefSeq and is a predicted model, not a curated record. Lineage: Eukaryota; Metazoa; Chordata; Actinopteri; Cypriniformes; Cobitidae.